AAGAGACAGACACAAUAACCAUUUCUUGAGCAGGAAGUGUAUCAGUAGGAAGCACAAGGAAUUUAUCUACCGAGAUCCCAUCUAUUCUUCCCUGCUUGCUGAAAACCUACCUGUUUUUAAAGUUUGUGUCACAGAGAUGAAACUGUUCUGUACUUCCAGGUUGUAUCAUCCAGUGUAGAAUUUUCCUGGAGUGAAGAAUUUACAGAAGAAGGGGCUAGAGACUAUAAGAGUGAUUGGUUGAGCUCAGAGCAUACAUGUAGUUUACCGGCUGGAGUCAGAACAAGUAGUUGAAGAUCUAAGUAGAAGUUGAACUUGAGAAAAACUGUGGAGUACAACAGAUGGUCUCACAAACGAUGCAUCUAAGAUCACCUAUCAGGAAGAUACACGGGGAAAGAAGUGAUUCCAAACAAAGAGUUCAGCUGCUCCGGGUGCCAGAUACUACAAUAAGUUAGCCCUGAAAUAAAAAGGAGAGAUGCUGUCUCCAUAGGAUUUAAGCAAUUACUGAAAAGUGAGAAGAUUGUCCAUGAAAGUGGAAGCCUGGAUCUUUGCACUGCAUCUGAUGAAUGCAUUCCUUUGUGUGCCAUUAUGUGAUGGUGAUGGUGAUAGUGGUGAUGAUGAAGGUCAUGUAAAGCCUCCAAUGUGUGUCGCAAGCGAACGGAUCAAUCUUCAUAACAAAUUUUCAUGAAUUAUUUGACAUCUCUUCUUGAACUCACUUUUAAAAUAACAAAGUAAUGAGAAGCAAACAUUUUUGACAGUUGAAAGGUCUCACUAUAUCUGAUAGUAGAAAGACUGGGAAAGAGAAAUAGCUGAAUUCUUGUUUGGAGUUUGCUCAUUUAUUAAAAUCACAUUAUGAAAUCCUCAAAUAGCUCAUGCUGUUGAACAAAGGUGAAUAUCAUGAUGCUAUCCCAGGAUUCAUUAAUGAUUCAUGUUACAAUAAAAAAUACUCGGGGCAUGAUUCUGCAAAAUCAGGAUUUUAAACCCAAGAGAGUAGAUAAAAGGC
Molecule: long non-coding RNA, 1000 nt
Filed under: Heterocephalus glaber (naked mole-rat)
Lineage: Eukaryota; Metazoa; Chordata; Mammalia; Rodentia; Bathyergidae
Description: lncRNA (ENSHGLG00000037905.1)
Source: RNAcentral